UGAGGAAUAUUGCGCAAUGGGGGCAACCCUGACGCAGCAACGCCGCGUGGGUGAAGAAGGCUUUCGGGUUGUAAAGCCCUGUCAGGUGGGAAGAACCCUUUACAGGUGAAUAGUCUGUAAAGCUGACGGUACCACCAAAGGAAGCACCGGCUAACUCCGUGCCAGCAGCCGCGGUAAGACGGAGGGUGCAAGCGUUGUUCGGAAUCACUGGGCGUAAAGCGCGUGUAGGCGGUUCGAUAAGUCGAGUGUGAAAGCCCGAGGCUUAACUUCGGAAGUGCAUUCGAAACUGUCGAGCUUGAGUACGGGGGAGGGAAGUGGAAUUCCUGGUGUAGAGGUGAAAUUCGUAGAUAUCAGGAGGAACACCGGUGGCGAAGGCGGCUUCCUGGACCGAUACUGACGCUGAGACGCGAAAGCGUGGGGAGCAAACA
This 428-nucleotide ribosomal RNA is filed under the name uncultured prokaryote. RNAcentral's name for it is "bacterial SSU rRNA". It matches the Rfam family "Bacterial small subunit ribosomal RNA", at positions 355 to 774 of the family's 1533-position model. The record is from RNAcentral.